Citrus sinensis (sweet orange) is the source of this 137-nucleotide non-coding RNA. Lineage: Eukaryota; Viridiplantae; Streptophyta; Magnoliopsida; Sapindales; Rutaceae. The record is from Rfam.
GCUUUAAGUAGUGAUGAUAUGAUUUUGCAUGUAUUAUCUGGCCUAGGACCAGAUUAUAAUUCAGUAGCUACUUACAUUACUGGUCAAGUAGGAGUUGGUAAAAUGAAUGUAAAUGAAGCCUAUGCUAUGCUAUUAAC